UACGAAGGGGGCUAGCGUUGUUCGGAAUUACUGGGCGUAAAGCGCGCGCAGGCGGCUAUCCAAGUCAGUGGUGAAAGCCCGGAGCUCAACUCCGGAACUGCCAUUGAAACUGUUUAGCUUGAGGAUGAGAGAGGUGAGUGGAAUUCCCAGUGUAGAGGUGAAAUUCGUAGAUAUUGGGAAGAACACCGGUGGCGAAGGCGGCUCACUGGCUCAUUUCUGACGCUCAGGCGCGACAGCGUGGGGAUCAAACAGG
RNAcentral lists this ribosomal RNA (253 nucleotides) under uncultured bacterium. RNAcentral's name for it is "partial 16S ribosomal RNA". It matches the Rfam family "Bacterial small subunit ribosomal RNA", at positions 524 to 776 of the family's 1533-position model. The record is from RNAcentral.